RNAcentral lists this ribosomal RNA (426 nucleotides) under uncultured bacterium. RNAcentral describes it as "bacterial SSU rRNA". It matches the Rfam family "Bacterial small subunit ribosomal RNA", at positions 354 to 796 of the family's 1533-position model. The record is from RNAcentral.
GUGAGGAAUUUUCCGCAAUGGGCGAAAGCCUGACGGAGCAAUGCCGCGUGAAGGAUGAAGGCCUAUGGGUUGUAAACUUCUUUUCUCAGAAAAGAAUUAUGACGGUAUCUGAGGAAUAAGCAUCGGCUAACUCUGUGCCAGCAGCCGCGGUAAGACAGAGGAUGCAAGCGUUAUCCGGAAUGAUUGGGCGUAAAGCGUCUGUAGGUUGUUUAAAAAGUAUUCUGUCAAAGAUUAGGGCUUAACCCUAGAUAGGCAGAAUAAACUUUUAAGCUAGAGUUUGGUAGAGGCAGAGGGAAUUCCCGGUGGAGCGGUGAAAUGCGUAGAUAGCGGGAGGAACACCAAAGGCGAAGGCACUCUGCUGGGCCAAUACUAACACUGAGAGACGAAAGCGAGGGGAGCAAAUGGGAUUAGAAACCCGAGUAGUCC